RNAcentral lists this ribosomal RNA (332 nucleotides) under uncultured bacterium. RNAcentral describes it as "bacterial SSU rRNA". It matches the Rfam family "Bacterial small subunit ribosomal RNA", at positions 568 to 898 of the family's 1533-position model. The record is from RNAcentral.
UGCGCAGGCGGUUUUGUAAGACAGAGGUGAAAUCCCCGGGCUCAACCUGGGAACGGCCUUUGUGACUGCAAGGCUAGAGUGUAGCAGAGGGGGGUAGAAUUCCACGUGUAGCAGUGAAAUGCGUAGAGAUGUGGAGGAAUACCGAUGGCGAAGGCAGCCCCCUGGGCCACUACUGACGCUCAUGCACGAAAGCGUGGGGAGCAAACAGGAUUAGAUACCCUGGUAGUCCACGCCCUAAACGAUGUCAACUGGAUGUUGGGAGGGUUAAACCUCUUAGUGUCGUAGCUAACGCGUGAAGUUGACCGCCUGGGGAGUACGGCCGCAAGGCUAAA